Caenorhabditis elegans is the source of this 200-nucleotide non-coding RNA. NCBI's taxonomy places the organism in Eukaryota, Metazoa, Nematoda, Chromadorea, Rhabditida, Rhabditidae. The record is from Ensembl.
AACAUUGAAGCUCCGAAUCCACUCGAUGAAGAACUAAACUUUGCUUUCAAGUCAUCAAUAAGGGAUCCAUGAACCACUCCAAGAAUCAGAAGGGUCGCCACAGCGACACCUUGAGGAGAAAUCAUUCCUGUAAGACAAAGAAAAAGAGAUUACGGUAGUCAGCUUAACCUAACUAUAAAACAAAAUAUAUGAUCAAAACU